GGAUCCACCACUCCUGGUUGGUUUUUCAAUUUCUCGUGAAUCUAGCUCUCGCCGGUGAGGUGGGGCUCCCCUCACAUCAUCGGCUUCCGUGCCGCACCGGCGAAGCCCUGCACCGCCGGCUUCCGUGCCGCCCCGGCGAGCUGCAGCCACCUUUCUGAGAUGUACCACCGCCUGCUCCCCAAUUUAUCGCGAAUCGGCCUCCCGCCGGCUACCGUCUGGUGAGGCGGGGCUCCCCCUCGCCGUCCCGGCGGGGCCCUGCGCCACCGGCUCCCAUGCCACACCGGCGAGGCCCUACGCUGCUGAAGACUCCCCCCUUGCCAUCGCGGCGGGGCCCUGCGCCGCCGGCACCCGUGCCGCCCCGCACGAGGCCCUGCGCCGCUGAAGAUCUCCACGCCGUUCACCGUUCAGCGGUAGUGUGAGACCUUGCGUCGCCAUCGACCCUCUUUUUCACGUGUGCCGCCCGUCGAGCUGCAGCGCCAGGUGCAGUAUCAUUUGCCGCUGCGCCGCGUCCUCGACUCGUCCGCCUCUGGCUGCCGUGGAGAGACCCUCCUUCUGGUGCCAGGACCAUAGACAUGAGGACAUGGAACAGCUGGUGUAUGAUUACGAAGUUGGUAUAUGAUUACUGAGACGAGCCUUGCACAAAGAGGCUGAUGGAUAAUGGAUGACCGGAUUGAUCCUACUGCUGAGUGCUGACAGCCAUUUUAACCAACAGGAAGCGAAAAGCGGACAAUGAACCAUGUGUCGUGAAUCCAACCUCUGCUGGCUCUGACCUGACCUCACCGUGUGGAGUAUCCUCUCUACAUGUCUUGAGCUUCAGGACCAUCUUCUCGCGAAACUUCCAUGACCUGUCUAAUGUGCAUGUCGUCUAAAUUGACAUUGUUAACAAGUUUUAGCUGCAGGCUGGCUAAUGUGCACGUCGUCUUAAUUUGACAUCAUUAAAAAGUUUUAUCUGUCGCUGUUAGUCUCGUUGCAUUCAGAAGAAACAGUUUGGACUAUUCUUUUUUUAAUGAACUUAUACUCUGUAAAUUAAUUAGUUGUUUACUUUUAGUCUGUGCCUGCACAUUUACUUGUUGAUACGUUUGUUAAUAUCCGCUGAUAUAUUCCAUCAUGAGACCAUUACUGCUGCUAUAUCUGCAGAACUUUUUGAAGCAUCAGCAUUAAUUAUUGUCACAUUCCUUUAUUAUCAGGUACAUCGAACAGAAUGGGUUGAAUGCUUAUUUGAACAAGUACAGAAUUAAGCUUGACCCUCAGCUUGAAGCUCUUGUUUGAAGGAAAUCGUGGCCGAAGUUUAUUAACGCGGAUAACCAACACCUAGUAUCUCCUGAGAUGUGGCCUAAUGGCUCUUGCAUUUCAAAUGUACUUACCUAGGAUAGGUAGUUCUUGCCUCUAGCUUGAUUUCUUUGUUUAUCUGUAGGCCAUAGAUUUCCUCGACAAGCUUCCGCGUUAUGAUCACCAGGACAGGCUUACUGCACGUGAAGCAAUGAUGCCAAGAAGAAAAUCCGGGCAUUCGCUCAAAAUGCUCUCGCGUUGGUGUGUCACAUUGUCACAGCAAUCAGCAUUCGGGGUCAUUUGAAAUCCCACGUGGUGGUGCUCACACAGCAGAGUACGAUUUGUCAAAAGGACGAGCUUGCAUUCUAUUCCUUUCCUCUGAUUGCAAGGAUGUAACUCCACCGAGAUAGCAUAUUGUACUGUUCUGUUUUCAUAUGUUUUUUUUACUCAUCAUACAACAAAUAGGUCGAUUUUGAUGUGAGUACCAGAAAAGAACUUUGGUUAAUGCUCUUGGAUGAUAUGUCCAUGAAGCUUUCAUACACUUGUCUCCUGCACUGAAGAGCAUUCUCUGCAUCAGCUUUUACUUUUACCAUGGAGAUGAAACUACUACUGGAGGGAGCAUUAUA
Long non-coding RNA from Panicum virgatum (switchgrass), 1895 nucleotides. RefSeq lists it as uncharacterized. NCBI's taxonomy places the organism in Eukaryota, Viridiplantae, Streptophyta, Magnoliopsida, Poales, Poaceae. The transcript has 5 exons. The record is from RefSeq and is a predicted model, not a curated record.